AAGUCGUAACAAGGUAUCCGUAGGUGAACCUGCGGAUGGAUCAUUAACACUAAAAAACAAAACCUUGCUUUCCUAAAAACAAAGCAUAACCCCAUAACUUUGCGAACUUGUCAACGGGGGAGGGGAGAGGAGGAAGCAAUUUCUCCACCCCUUUUCCGUUCGUUUUUCUCCUUUUUCACCUUAUUAUUAAACCCCAAAACAAAAACAACAAACAAAACUUGACUAAGACAAAAACAAAUGAGAAAACAAAAUAAUACAACUUUUAACGACGGAUAUCUUGGCUCUC
Molecule: unclassified non-coding RNA, 286 nt
Filed under: fungal sp.
Lineage: Eukaryota; Fungi
Description: partial internal transcribed spacer region
Rfam family: Eukaryotic small subunit ribosomal RNA (bases 1-46)
Source: RNAcentral